GACGAACGCUGGCGGCGUGCUUAACACAUGCAAGUCGAACGGAAAGGCCCUGCCUUUGUGGGGUGCUCGAGUGGCGAACGGGUGAGUAACACGUGAGUAAUCUGCCCUUGACUUUGGGAUAACUUCAGGAAACUGGGGCUAAUACCGGAUAGGAGCUCCUGCUGCAUGGUGGGGGUUGGAAAGUUUCGGCGGUUGGGGAUGGACUCGCGGCUUAUCAGCUUGUUGGUGGGGUAGUGGCUUACCAAGGCUUUGACGGGUAGCCGGCCUGAGAGGGUGACCGGCCACAUUGGGACUGAGAUACGGCCCAGACUCCUACGGGAGGCAGCAGUGGGGAAUAUUGCACAAUGGGCGGAAGCCUGAUGCAGCAACGCCGCGUGCGGGAUGACGGCCUUCGGGUUGUAAACCGCUUUCGCCUGUGACGAAGCGUGAGUGACGGUAAUGGGUAAAGAAGCACCGGCUAACUACGUG
This 468-nucleotide ribosomal RNA is filed under the name uncultured bacterium. RNAcentral describes it as "partial 16S ribosomal RNA". It matches the Rfam family "Bacterial small subunit ribosomal RNA", at positions 28 to 507 of the family's 1533-position model. The record is from RNAcentral.